This 497-nucleotide ribosomal RNA is filed under the name uncultured bacterium. RNAcentral's name for it is "partial 16S ribosomal RNA". It matches the Rfam family "Bacterial small subunit ribosomal RNA", at positions 28 to 507 of the family's 1533-position model. The record is from RNAcentral.
GAUGAACGCUGGCGGCGUGCCUAAUACAUGCAAGUCGAGCGAACGGACGAGAAGCUUGCUUCUCUGAUGUUAGCGGCGGACGGGUGAGUAACACGUGGAUAACCUACCUAUAAGACUGGGAUAACUUCGGGAAACCGGCGCUAAUACCGGAUAAUAUUUUGAACCGCAUUGUUCAAAAGUGAAAGACGGUCUUGCUGUCACUUAUAGAUGGAUCCGCGCUGCAUUAGCUAGUUGGUAAGGUAACGGCUUACCAAGGCAACGAUGCAUAGCCGACCGGAGAGGGUGAUCGGCCACAUUGGAACGGAGACACGGUCCAGACUACUACGGGAGGCAGCAGUAGGGAAUCGUCCGCAAUGGGCGAAAGCCUGACGGAGCAACGCCGCGUGAGUGAUGAAGGUCUUCGGAUCGUAAAACUCUGUUACUAGGGAAGAACCUAUGUGUAAGUAACUGUGCACAUCUUGACGGUACCUAAUCAGAAAGCCACGGCUAACUACGUG